ACCUGCAUGUCUGCUGUCUCUCACUAGAAAGGAUCUAUUUUACUUUCCAAAAUGUGAGAAGUUCUGCUAACACCAUGUUUCUUGAGCCAGCAACAUGGAACCAAGCAAUGAAGUUUUUUUUUUUGUUUUUGUUUUUUUUUUUUUUUUUUUUUUUUUUCUCAAAUUAAAUGUGUCUACAUUGAUGUUUUAGUUUCAAUACACUCAUUGUGCCUCAACGACUGGUAGGUGUUUAGGCCACAGGAACAGAUGGGAACUAAUCCCAGAUGCUGUCCCCAAAAAUUACUCUACAAUAAUGGAAGGCCUGCAGCAUUUAAAGUUUCACCCCACAAAUCUUUUCUGCAUACUACAUUACUUAGUGGCAUAGAGAGAGCCACUUCUUCCUGCCUGUCUUGCUGUCUUCCUUUUCUGCUGGCCUGCCUUAACAGGUGGUGCACAUGGAGUAGAGGGGCUGAAGAUGAUGGUGUGAUUUGGGUUUACCAUCCCAUCCUCUUCUUCAGAUGGUAGGCUUUGCUCAAGCAAGAAAGGAUCCUGGUAAUGGUAACUGGAUUCCUAGACAGAAGCCUAAGGAACUGAAAGAGCCUGAAGAGGGUCCAAAGAAAAGCCACUAAGAUGAUUAAAGGCCUGGAGAGCCUGACAUAUGAGGCUGAAGGAACUGGGUUUGUUCAUCCAGGAGAAAAGAUGACUUGGGGGAGACCUCAUCGCUGUGUUCCAGUAUUUAAAGGAUGGCAACAAAAAAGACAGAGACUCCCUUUUUAAAAGGAGACACAGAAAGGACAUGGGGCAGUGUGUACAAGUCAUACCAGGGGAGAUUCCAGUUAAAUGUGAGGAAUUUUUUUUUUUACUUUGAGAAAAAUCAGUCAUUGCAAUAACCUCUCCAAAGAUGUGGUGGGUUUCUCCAGAUCAGAAGAAGAACACAAGGGUGUAAGUGGCACAUUAGGCAACCAAAUCCCAAACUUUCAGAGCUUCUCAGCUGUCUUCUGUAAGGACAAAUAACUGAAAUUUCUAGGGCUUAUCAAUGCCCUGAGAAUCUGUUGAAGCUUUGACAGUUUGGAGUAGCUAAGGAGCCAGUUCAUAUAAAUCCUACCUCUACCUGUCCUUCUACUUACCUUACCAAGUCUUUCUCCAAAUAUUCAUAACAGAAGCUCCUGCAGAAAAUACAGGGACUGCAAAAGGAGCAAACAGUGCUCUUGGCACGAUGGUGACUUUUAUUCAGCACUCUAGUGCUUCAAACACUCAUCUGGCAUAACCCAUGAACGCUCCUCUAGACCUGUCCAUGUCUGUCUCAUGGGACUCAAAGCCUGCUGACUCUCAGACAAGUCUGUAUGGAGGCUAAUGUUCUCAUUCCUUUGUACUAGAAUGAUGGCAUCAGUAAUCAUUUAGAGGGUGGAAGAAAAAGUAUGCAAAUGGAGUUGAAAGUCUAUGGGUUAUAGUACUUUCAGGGGAAUAUCUUGUGUCUUGUUCCUUAUCUGUUAAACAUACCUUAUGUGUCACAGUAAAAAUAAAUAAAUAGUGGUUUGGAAUGAGUCA
RNAcentral lists this long non-coding RNA (1527 nucleotides) under Anas platyrhynchos platyrhynchos (common mallard). Its description in RNAcentral is "lncRNA (ENSAPLG00000019444.1)". Lineage: Eukaryota; Metazoa; Chordata; Aves; Anseriformes; Anatidae. The record is from RNAcentral.